RNAcentral lists this ribosomal RNA (2424 nucleotides) under Triticum aestivum (bread wheat). RNAcentral describes it as "partial small subunit ribosomal RNA". The record is from RNAcentral. Lineage: Eukaryota; Viridiplantae; Streptophyta; Magnoliopsida; Poales; Poaceae.
AUGGGGGACUCGAGCGACGCCGUCAUGGCGCGGUGGCUGCAGUCCGCGGGGCUGCAGCACCUCGCGGCUUCGUCGGCGGGCCCCGCCGGGGACCAGCGCGGCGCCGGCGUGGGGGGCCUUGGAGGCGGCGCCGGAGGAGCGGGCAUGCUUCCGAGUCUGCUCAUGCAGGGCUAUGGACCACAGUCAGUUGAAGAGAAACAAAGGCUAUAUAUGCUGCUGAGGAACUUGAAUUUUAACGGAGAAUCUUUGCCUGCAUCAGUCUCUGAGCCCUAUACACCAACUGCUCAGAAAUUUGGCAGUGGGACUUCCGCAGAGGGUCUGUAUUCACCUGAACUUAGAGGUGAACUUGGAGCUGGUCUUCUGGAUCUCCAUGCUAUGGAUGACACUGGACUUCUUUCUGAGGAUGUAGAUUCAGAACCAUUUGAGCCUUCACCCUUUAUGCCAAAGGAAAUUGAUGAUGAUGAGGAUGAUAUGAUAACAGGAAACCAGCUAGGUCCAGCUGAUAACUAUAAUGCAGUGACGAGUGAAAAGGAGAUCAAUACUAGAGAAAAUAAUGUAGCGAAGAUCAAAGUUGUGGUAAGAAAGAGGCCCCUGAACAGAAAAGAGUUAUCUCGAAAGGAAGAUGAUGCUGUAGCUGUGCAUGAUUCAUCUUCUUUGACAGUUUAUGAACCUAAGCUGAAGGUCGACUUGACAGCUUAUGUGGAGCAGCAUGAAUUUUGUUUUGACGCUGUCCUGGAUGAGGAUGUUUCUAAUGACGAGGUGUAUCGCGAGACAGUGGAACCCAUUAUACCAAUAAUAUUCCAGAGAACCAAAGCAACAUGUUUUGCUUAUGGACAAACAGGUAGUGGGAAGACAUACACAAUGCAACCUUUGCCUCUGAGGGCUGCUCAAGACAUGAUUCGUCUUUUGAAUCAACCUGUCUACCGGAAUCAAAAUUUUAAGCUGUGGCUCAGCUACUUCGAGAUAUACGGUGGGAAACUCUAUGAUCUUCUAUCAGACAGAAGACACUUACUGAUGAGGGAGGAUGGCAAGAAACAAGUUUGCAUAGUCGGUCUGCAGGAAUUUGAGGUUUCUGAUGUCCAGGUUGUCAGGGAAUAUAUUGAGAGGGGAAAUGCAGCAAGGAGCACAGGGUCUACAGGGGCCAAUGAAGAGUCAUCGAGGUCACAUGCCAUUCUGCAACUGGCUGUGAAGAAGCAUAUUAUAGUAACUGAAACUAGGAGACAAAGGGACAGGGAUGCCAAUGAAGCUAAAAACACGAAGGCAGUGGGAAAAAUAUCUUUUAUUGAUCUUGCUGGAAGCGAACGUGGCGCUGAUACAACAGAUAAUGAUAGGCAGACAAGAAUUGAAGGUGCAGAGAUAAACAAGAGCCUCCUUGCUCUGAAGGAAUGCAUCCGGGCCCUUGACAAUGAUCAGAUACACAUUCCUUUCAGAGGAAGCAAGCUCACAGAGGUUCUCCGUGACUCAUUUGUUGGCAACUCUAGGACGGUGAUGAUUUCUUGCAUUUCUCCCAAUGCAGGUUCAUGUGAACACACGUUAAAUACAUUGAGAUAUGCCGAUAGGGUUAAAAGUCUUUCAAAGGGUGGCAACACAAGAAAGGAGCAGUCUACUGCACCAACUAUUCCUUCCAUGAGGGAGUCUUCAUCUGCUCCAUCCUAUCCUUUAUCUGUUGAGGCCGAAGAAGUACCCAACCAGAUCCAGGAGAAGAGACCUGUCGAUAUAUCUAGGAGAGGCGCUGAAAAUUUUACCUCCAACUCUUCGAUGGAGCCUGACAGGAAUAACUUUAGUAUGAUCCCAAGUUAUUCUAAUAGAGGAAAAGAGGAAAACGGUGCAUCUGGUUUGAAUGAUAGGGAGAGGGUUGAUUUUAGUUCUGGCCGAACUGUUUACAACAGUAAAGCACAGUUAAUUCAGAAUUCAGCAAAUGCACAAGAGGAUGAAAAGGUUACCAGAGUCUCACCUCCCAGGAGGAAGGUCAUAAGGGAAGACAAAUCUGAAAAGCAGAACUACAUGAAAAAGGAUAGUGGAAUUGAGGCAAGUCGGCCUGGAUAUAAGGUUCAGCAGGUAAGGCAGUUGCAACAGCAGCAACGACCAACAUCUGCUUCAGCUUCUCAGGUUUCGUCAAGGCAAUCUGAAAAAGAAAGUUCAUGCGAUGAUGUGGAGAUAGAUGCCAUUCUUGAGGAAGAGGAGGCCCUCAUUGCAGCUCACAGGAAGGAAAUCGAGAAUACAAUGGAGAUCGUGCGCGAAGAGAUGAACCUUUUGGCAGAAGUUGACCAACCAGGCAGCCUUAUUGACGACUAUGUGACACAAUUGAGCUUUCUUCUGUCACGCAAGGCUGCAGGCUUGGUCAGCCUCCAAGCGCGCCUUUCAAGGUUUCAACAGCGCCUCAAAGAGCAGGAGAUCCUUAGCCGUAAGAAAUCAUCCAGAUAG